This 328-nucleotide ribosomal RNA is filed under the name uncultured bacterium. Its description in RNAcentral is "bacterial LSU rRNA". It matches the Rfam family "Bacterial large subunit ribosomal RNA", at positions 114 to 487 of the family's 2925-position model. The record is from RNAcentral.
CCGAAUGGGGAAACCCACCCUUAGGGGUAUCCUAUACUGAAUACAUAGGUAUAGGAGACGAACCUGGUGAACUGAAACAUCUAAGUAACCAGAGGAAAAGAAAUCAAACGAGAUUCCCACAGUAGCGGCGAGCGACCUGGGAGCAGCCUGCAAGUGAUAUCAGCUUGGUUAGUGGAACGGUCUGGAAAGUCCGGCAAUAGAGGGUGAUAGCCCCGUACACGAAAACCUCGCUGUGGUACUAAGCUUGCGACAAGUAGGUCGGGACACGUGUUAUCUUGACUGAACAUGGGGGGACCAUCCUCCAAGGCUAAAUACUACUGACUACCGA